Molecule: transfer RNA, 69 nt
Filed under: Elephantulus rupestris (western rock elephant shrew)
Lineage: Eukaryota; Metazoa; Chordata; Mammalia; Macroscelidea; Macroscelididae
Description: tRNA-Ala
Rfam family: tRNA
About the family: Transfer RNA (tRNA) molecules are approximately 80 nucleotides in length. Their secondary structure includes four short double-helical elements and three loops (D, anti-codon, and T loops). Further hydrogen bonds mediate the characteristic L-shaped molecular structure. tRNAs have two regions of fundamental functional importance: the anti-codon, which is responsible for specific mRNA codon recognition, and the 3' end, to which the tRNAs corresponding amino acid is attached (by aminoacyl-tRNA synthetases). tRNAs cope with the degeneracy of the genetic code in two manners: having more than one tRNA (with a specific anti-codon) for a particular amino acid; and 'wobble' base-pairing, i.e. permitting non-standard base-pairing at the 3rd anti-codon position.
Source: RNAcentral
AAGGGCUUAGCUUAAUUAAAGUGUCUGUUUUGCAUGCAGGAGAUGUUAGAUAUAGUCUUGCAGUCCUUA